RNA transcript from Fukomys damarensis (Damara mole-rat), 3492 nucleotides. It is a transcript of the gene named SPTY2D1 opposite strand, with no coding region annotated. The transcript is spliced from 6 exons. NCBI's taxonomy places the organism in Eukaryota, Metazoa, Chordata, Mammalia, Rodentia, Bathyergidae. The record is from RefSeq and is a predicted model, not a curated record.
CAUAUGUCAAUGUAUACGAUGCAGAGAACAUAAUGCCUCCCAAAUAGAGUAUGAUGUCAGUGUGUUCCCAAGAGUGGCGAGUGAAACCCCCCGAGUGACUUCAGUGUGUGAAACCUGAUAUGUAAUCCCCCCAAGAGUGAAGUGUGGUGUGUAAUCAAACAUCCUACGCCCUUAACACCCUGUGACGCCCUACGACGCCCUAUAACGUAUGCAACACCCAUGUGUGUGAAGAGCUAAGCCCGAACCAGGGCCACAGACCCCAAAUUAGAAUGGUAUAAAAGAGAGAGCGCAGAAGACCAGCUCGUCCCACUCGGUGACCGAUCCAGCUCCAGGGCAACCUGCCAGACGAGAUCUCGGAUGAGGCCUCGGUGGAGACAUCGGACGCCUGCCCGGUGUGGACUCCCGGAUCGAGGAGGAGGCAACCGGAUUGACGACCGCAAUCACCAGGAAAGGAGAAACAAAGCCGCGCUCCUCGUCUUGUGCAGGAGAAAAGCAAGUUGCAUGGGAGCAGGCAGAGUAUGAUCACCUUCAGUGCAACCACACUGGAGGAAAACGCUCUCCAUCCCUUUCUGUGUGUAAUGAUGUUUACAAACUCAUGGAGAAGUCUUUGGCAAAAGGAUACACACCAGCCUGGAAACAUAAGACACAUCAAGGAGAUGGAAAUUAAGGGACUCCAGCGUCUUCAUCAGGGAGUUGCAGAUCCUUUGGAGCCAAGGAACGGAACUGACAUGUGAGACUUUGGUCAACUGAAGGCUUCAUGAGCAGAUGCCUUUGCCAAGGUCUUUGUGAACAGUCUCUCGCCGUGGGAUUGUGUCUUAGAAACUUUUACGUUUGAUCAUGAUCGUGCUUGGCUGGAUGCUUUUCGUUGGACUUGCAUGUUACAUGGGCACAUUUCCAGAGGUGAUGACAUUAUGGAACUGAUAAGGGGAUCUUGCUGGAGACAGUGCCUGACUUCUAGGUUUCGAGUCAAGUAGGUCAGGAGUUGCUGAUGGGAAGAAUUGUGGGGCUGGGGGCCUCUGAGCAGCUCUUCUGCUCACCACACGGAGGCACUGAGCUAAUGGAGCCAUCUCCACCUUUAGUUUUAUUUCCCUCUCAGCCUCCAACUCUGAAGUGGAAAGAGAGAUGUCCUGUUCCAGAGAGCAAGGCACGAUGGAGGAGCUGGGCUUUGGAGGAAGAUCUGCCACUGUAAGAGGGUGGUCAGGGGCACUGGGCUGGGUGCCCAUUUCUAGAGGACCCUGUGGCAUCCUGGAAUCUCAGCGGAGAGCUUUUCUUCUCCUGGAAAAUACACUGAACUGCGGAAGGGGAAAUGGUUUGAAGUGUAUGCUGGGAAAAGAAGACUUGGGGGCUAAUGCCGAGGACAGCAGGCCAACAUUCAAGUCUAUUAAUACCUAUUCCUUUUGAACAUUUCCUGUUUAUUGUUUUCUCCUCACAAACACUAUAGUAGACCAAUAUUUUUAACACUCAUUUUGGCAGAUGGUGAAACUAGAGAUAAUAUGAAUUUGAAGCUCAAGUCCUAACUUUGCAACACUAGCCCUGACUUUGGGAAAGUUUAACUUCUCAGAACCAGUUUCUUCGUCUGUGCAUAGGAACUAUCUCCGAGUCUUCCUGUUUUGGUGAAGGUUAUACUUAGGGAUUCACGUAAGGCAUUUAACGCAGGGUUUGACAGUAUUUAGUGAAGUGUUAACUACUAAGCAAAAUCAUAAAGCAAUCAGCAAACAUGUACCGGUGACACCGUAAUCCAGUGCCACACAGUCAGCCUGUUGUCCUUCACUUACUCCCCCGGCUGACCUGCCUAAGCAGCAGGAAUGGCAGCAGUCCCACUGGCAAACCAGCUCCUGGGCUUCUUGCUUCUGUUUCAUUCAAAUGUUUGCUUUUCUCAAGAGCGAAUCAUACUGCUACAGAAAAUUAACUCUUGAUCGUUUUAAUAAUAUAUUCAUCCCAGGAGCAGGCUUUUGGAGACGCUCCCCCAGAAGGUAGGGUUAUCAGGCCCCAGGCCCGGGCAUACCAAGAGCAACGUGUAACAGUGAGGCUUUUCUCCACGUGCCCCAGGGUUUCUCAGACAAGCAUCGGCCCAAAGCAUUUGUGAGUGUGGGGAUUGUUCAGCUGAGCCACUGCCACAUUGUGAUCCUGAUCAAACCACUCACUACUCCAGACCUCACUUCAUCUGGCUGCGAAAUAAGCACAAUAAACCAUCUUCCUUUCUUUCUCUGGAAAGUUACAAGGUUUGCAUGAUGGAGUAAUUGCUCUUUCACAAAAUGCAAGCUUUUUCUUCUUUGAAGUCUCGACAAUAGCAUAUGAAGUUAAUUGAUCAUAGUAAACAUAGGCAGUUCUUCUAAUAAACCCAGGUACUAUUUUGUUCUUGGCAUAGCAGUGUUUUUUGGUAUCAGAUUGCAUCAAGCCAAUAGUUAAAUAUUUUGGCAUUUGCUAAGUCGUCAAGGAUGUGCUGCCAGCUAGGUCUUACUUGCCACAGAACAGGGCUCCUUUGAUUAGGUUUAUUCAGCCCCAACACACCUGGCAUUCUGGCCACCCACCCCACAGCUGCUCACUCUGACUGGGUCCCUGGUGUCACAGGGGCUGAUGUCAUAAUUGGUACCUGAGUCCUGUCCCUCAGGAUGGCCAUGGAGAGUCCUGUUAGUUCAGACUAGACCACGAAGAUCCUCAGCCAGGAGCUGCCAUGCAGGGCCACCCACCCAUCAUUCGGACUUGAGUGGAGACAGCCCAUUCCCAGGACUCGGGGCAGAGAGCACCACACCUUCCAGGACCACCAUUCCCCCGCCCGCGGACGCCGGCAGCUGAACAAGAAGCCCCACCAUGAUUGUUGUCUUAUGGAUGCUUCUCAUUGCAGGAACCAUGUGGAAGGGAUAUAAAUAUCCCCCAGGAGGGACCCCUGUGGAAAUAAGCAAGGAUGAUCCUGGUGAAGUAAUGCAGCUCUGAAGCUUACCUGGCUAGCAGUACAGUUCCUGUUGUUGGUGUCACAUAAAGGAUCAGAACUACUCAUUUUGACAAGAGGAACUAUAGCCAGCUCUGCUUCUUCCAAACUGGGCCACGUAGCUAGAUUCUUAUUGCCCUAAUCACCUGACAGUUCUCCCUAAUGCGGGUGUCAGACAGUACCUCAAGCUAGCAGCAGACGAGGAAAGAGAUCAGUGGUAGGGGCUGAAGAAGACGGAUGUGUAAGGGAGGAUGAGCAGAGGAGUGUGUCAAAUCUAUACUUGUUACAUCUGAUGAGGCUACUGAGAUUUUUUUCCCUGGGAAAAUAUUCAAGGUGGUAAGAAACAGCUUGAAGUUUUAAUCAAUAAAUGCAAACCAGUAAAAAUAUCAAUAAAAUAUUUUUAAUGCCUACAAUUUCUUGUAUACAUAAAUUGCAAAACAUUCACCUGUAUAUGCAAAAGUAUAUUCUCUUGCAGGUCAACAGCACCAGAAUACAAGCUAAGCUAUGUAAAGUUUUUUUUAAACUUGAUUUGUCCAUUAUGUAAAAGACAUGACAGAUUUAAU